ACGAGGGGAAAACAGACAGUGGGAUAUGGUGAAACCGUGACGGUUGGUGAAUGAGACUUUGAUCCAAUGACAUUAAAGCAGAUGAGCCACCCAAAACUAAUAUACAGUGUCUACUGCAGAAGACGUGUGCUCUUCACCAGUCUGUGGACCAGGAAACGAGCCGCUGGGGAUCUCAGUCGCAAGGGUGCUCAGGUGGCCUUGGUGCAGACACUCACAGCUCUCAGACUGCAGAGUGUGCCGGUCCUCGGAGAAGGGGUGUCCUUCAGGGCAGUGCUUCUCUGGCUGAUGCCACAGACUGGCUAGUGGAUGGCCAGACUCAUCACACUGACACCCCUGUUCACCUAAACCAGAUACAACCCCUUCCUGAUGCAUCUGUUGGUGCCAAAUCUUUUUUUUUUUUUUGUAGCUUUUUAUUAUUAAAACAGUCACUGCAAUUAUCAGGAGUCGUCUAAUGUACAGUGACUGCUAUUCCUAUUGCUGGUGAGUGAGAAU
This 492-nucleotide long non-coding RNA is filed under the name Homo sapiens (human). Its description in RNAcentral is "HSALNT0131963". The record is from RNAcentral. Lineage: Eukaryota; Metazoa; Chordata; Mammalia; Primates; Hominidae.